RNAcentral lists this transfer RNA (72 nucleotides) under Polyangiaceae bacterium. It matches the Rfam family "tRNA". From Rfam's summary of the family: Transfer RNA (tRNA) molecules are approximately 80 nucleotides in length. Their secondary structure includes four short double-helical elements and three loops (D, anti-codon, and T loops). The record is from Rfam by way of RNAcentral. Lineage: Bacteria; Pseudomonadati; Myxococcota; Polyangiales; Polyangiaceae.
GGGCGGGUAGCUCAGCGGUAGAGCGGCGGCUUUACACGCCGUUGGUCGCAGGUUCGAUCCCUGUCCCGCCCA